UGCGGUGUGGUGUAACUGGUAACACACAUCACUUUGGAUGAUGCAUUUCAGGUUCGAAUCCUGACAUCGCAA
Molecule: transfer RNA, 72 nt
Filed under: Crassvirales sp.
Lineage: Duplodnaviria; Heunggongvirae; Uroviricota; Caudoviricetes; Crassvirales
Description: tRNA-Gln
Rfam family: tRNA
About the family: Transfer RNA (tRNA) molecules are approximately 80 nucleotides in length. Their secondary structure includes four short double-helical elements and three loops (D, anti-codon, and T loops).
Source: RNAcentral